RNAcentral lists this ribosomal RNA (370 nucleotides) under Priestia megaterium. Its description in RNAcentral is "bacterial LSU rRNA". It matches the Rfam family "Bacterial large subunit ribosomal RNA", at positions 1 to 362 of the family's 2925-position model. Lineage: Bacteria; Bacillati; Bacillota; Bacilli; Caryophanales; Bacillaceae. The record is from RNAcentral.
AUGGUUAAGUUAGAAAGGGCGCACGGUGAAUGCCUUGGCACUAGGAGCCGAUGAAGGACGGGACUAACACCGAUAUGCUUCGGGGAGCUGUAAGUGAGCUUUGAUCCGGAGAUUUCCGAAUGGGGAAACCCACUGUUCGUAAUGGAACAGUAUCUUUAUCUGAAUACAUAGGAUAUUGAAGGCAGACCCGGGGAACUGAAACAUCUAAGUACCCGGAGGAAGAGAAAGCAAAUGCGAUUUCCUGAGUAGCGGCGAGCGAAACGGAAUUAGCCCAAACCAAGAGGCUUGCCUCUUGGGGUUGUAGGACACUCUAUACGGAGUUACAAAGGAACGAAGUAAAUGAAGCGACCUGGAAAGGUCCGUCAAAGAA